RNAcentral lists this ribosomal RNA (227 nucleotides) under Enterobacillus tribolii. RNAcentral describes it as "partial 23S ribosomal RNA". It matches the Rfam family "Bacterial large subunit ribosomal RNA", at positions 450 to 677 of the family's 2925-position model. Lineage: Bacteria; Pseudomonadati; Pseudomonadota; Gammaproteobacteria; Enterobacterales; Hafniaceae. The record is from RNAcentral.
GGACCAUCCUCCAAGGCUAAAUACUCCUGACUGACCGAUAGUGAACCAGUACCGUGAGGGAAAGGCGAAAAGAACCCCGGCGAGGGGAGUGAAAUAGAACCUGAAACCGUGUACGUACAAGCAGUGGGAGCCUUGAUUUAUCAGGGUGACUGCGUACCUUUUGUAUAAUGGGUCAGCGACUUAUAUUCUGUAGCAAGGUUAACCGAAUAGGGGAGCCGCAGGGAAAC